CCUAAAGCGUCCGUAGCUGGCCACGCAAGUCCGUCGGGAAAUCCAUCGGCUCAACCGAUGGGCGUCCGGCGGAAACUGCGUGGCUUGGGACCGGAAGGCUCGAGGGGUACGUCCGGGGUAGGAGUGAAAUCCCGUAAUCCUGGACGGACCACCGAUGGCGAAAGCACCUCGAGAAGACGGAUCCGACAGUGAGGGACGAAAGCUGGGGUCUCGAACCGGAUUAGAUACCCGGGUAGUCCCAGCCGUAAACGAUGCCAGUUAGGUGUGGCACAGGCUACGAGCCUGUGCUGUGCCGUAGGGAAGCCGUGAAACUGGCCGCCUGGGAAGUACGUCCGCAAGGAUGAAACUUAAAGGAAUUGGCGGGGGAGCACUACAACCGGAGGAGCCUGCGGUUUAAUUGGACUCAACGCCGGACAUUUCACCAGCUCCGACUACAGUGAUGACGGUCAGGUUGAUGACCUCGCCACGACGCUGUAGAGAGGAGGUGCAUGGCCGCCGUCAGCUCGUACCGUGAGGCGUCCUGUUAAGUCAGGCAACGAGCGAGACCCGCACACUUAAUUGCCAGCAUCAGGUUUCCUGGAUGGGUACAUUAAGUGGACUGCCGCUGCUAAAGCGGAGGAAGGAACGGGCAACGGUAGGUCAGUAUGCCCCGAAUGAGCUGGGCUACACGCGGGCUACAAUGGCCAAGACAAUGGGUUCCAACCUCGAAAGAGGACGGUAAUCUCCGAAACUUGGUCGUAGUUCGGAUUGUGGGCCGAAACUCGCCCACAUGAGGCUGGAUUCGG
This 785-nucleotide ribosomal RNA is filed under the name uncultured Halobacteria archaeon. RNAcentral's name for it is "bacterial SSU rRNA". It matches the Rfam family "Archaeal small subunit ribosomal RNA", at positions 509 to 1291 of the family's 1478-position model. The record is from RNAcentral. Lineage: Archaea; Methanobacteriati; Methanobacteriota; Halobacteria.